This is an RNA transcript of Mangifera indica (mango), 1887 nucleotides long. It is a transcript of the gene named magnesium transporter MRS2-4-like, with no coding region annotated. The record is from RefSeq and is a predicted model, not a curated record. NCBI's taxonomy places the organism in Eukaryota, Viridiplantae, Streptophyta, Magnoliopsida, Sapindales, Anacardiaceae. The transcript is spliced from 5 exons.
UAUGAAAAACAGUAGCUUCAUAAUGAGCCUUAGUAUUUGAUUCCCUUACUUUGUCACCCCAAAAUAAACGAACGCCUGGCGAAUCCAUGGAACUUGAGAGGAUUAUCACCAUCAGGAGUCACCACCACCACCACCACCCGUACCCUCCUUCACAUCGUCGAGGCCUUCAUUGGCCUCUCGUUUUCAUAAAACAUAGAAAAUUACCCUUUUUUUACAAACGAAUUAAUUACAAACAAAGUACAAACCUCUUCAUUAUCAUUAUCGUUUCUCUUCAAUGGGGAAGGGUGCUUUGUUGUUUCGCUCCAUCCGGCGUCGUUUAAAAAGAAACGUGGCCCCCCGCCGCCAAUGCCGCCUCCGCUCCUCUCGGUGGGUGCUUCGGCUCAGAGCAUGAUCAGUGGUGGGUCGGUGCCGGCCGUGGCGGCAAAGGGGAAGAAGAAAGCGAGGCUGUGGAUGAGGUUUGAUUUCUCGGGAAAAUGGGAGAUUGUUGAAUGUGAUAAGGGUGUUAUUAUCGAACGCGCGGGAAUUCCGGCGAGGGAUUUGAGGAUUCUUGGCCCUGUGUUCUCUCACUCUUCUAAUAUCCAUGCUAGGGAGAAGGCCAUUGUUAUCAAUUUGGAGUUCAUAAAAGCUAUAGUUACGCUUCAAGAAGUGCUGUUGCUUGAUCCUCUCCGCCAGGAAGUGCUUGCUUUUGUGGAUCAGCUUAGGCAACAACUUCCAUCUGGAGCAAAGGCUGCAGACAUGCAAGAUACUGAAUUGCAGGUUUCCACGCAUGAAAAGUGGUCACCUAUUCCAGAAUCUGUUGAAGGUGUACAGAACGAGCUUCCAUUUGAGUUUCAGGUUCUGGAGAUUGCAUUAGAGGUUGUUUGUACAUAUUUGGGCUUGAGUGUGGCUUACCUUGAGAGAGACUCUUACCCUGUAUUGGAUGAACUGGCAAGAAGCGUUAGCACCAAGAAUCUUGAACAUGUGCAAAGUUUGAAAAGCAAUCUUACACGUCUACUUGCACGUGUACAAAAGGUGAGGGAUGAGAUAGAGCAUUUACUAGAUGACAAUGAAGAUAUGGCACAAUUAUAUUUAACAAGGAAGCACGUCCAGAAUCAGCAAGCUGAGGCCUUGCUAGUAGCUGCAGCUUCAAAUAGUAUUGUUGCUAGAGCACCUCAUCAUUAUCGACUUAGCUCUAGCAAGAGUGGAAGUUUGGUGACAAGUACCUUUAUGGAUGAUAAUGAUGUCAAAGAUUUGGAGAUGUUGCUUGAAGCUUACUUUAUGCAGCUAGAUGCAACACGCAACAGGAUACUUUCUGUCCGUGAAUAUAUCGAUGACACGGAAGACUAUGUGAAUAUCCAACUUGACAACCAGCGUAACAAACUCAUCCAGUUCCAAUAGAUAUUGGCCAUUGCAUCAUUAACUAUAGGUUUUAACACCUUGAUAACUGGGAUAUUUGGGAUGAACAUCCCUUUUCCAUUGUAUAAAAUUGAUGGCAUAUUUGGAAUCUUUGUUGGAAGCACAACUGCUGCUGCUGUUCUGCUUUUCAUACUCCUGCUAGGAUAUGCCGGAUGGAGGAAGCUGCUUGUGUCACCAGCUGUACAGAAAGAGUUGAAUUGUCUGGAUCCGUUGCUGGACUGAUCCAAAAGAUCGAUUGCCUUAUGAUGUAAUGAUUCAGAUGGAGUAAUAUUAUACAGAGAAGAAUUGAUGCAGGGAAAAAAAAAAUGCAUUUUGGACACCAUUUCAUACUGAACUGGCCUUUUAUGACAAGUUUAGAUUGAAUUAGAGAGAAGAUCCAACAUUGUAAAACAGUCAAAAUAUUAUUACUUGUAUGGAUGUAAAUUACUUGCAUAAAAUUUUAAAUGCUUAUGGGAGAAUUAUUGUUAUUUUAUAUGAAUAUAAAGUGUUUAU